AGUGGUUCUCAACAGUUCAACAGUUCUUUGAGAAAAUUGUGAAAUGUUUAGGACCACUUG
RNAcentral lists this microRNA precursor (60 nucleotides) under Tetraodon nigroviridis (spotted green pufferfish). RNAcentral's name for it is "Tni-Mir-203-P2-v1_pre stem-loop". It matches the Rfam family "mir-203 microRNA precursor family", at positions 14 to 73 of the family's 80-position model. The record is from RNAcentral. Lineage: Eukaryota; Metazoa; Chordata; Actinopteri; Tetraodontiformes; Tetraodontidae.